CCCCGUGUGGCUCAGUUGGUAUAGCAUGGUGUUUGCAACGCCAGACUUGUGGGUUUGAUUCCCACGGGGG
RNAcentral lists this transfer RNA (70 nucleotides) under Salmo salar (Atlantic salmon). It matches the Rfam family "tRNA". From Rfam's summary of the family: Transfer RNA (tRNA) molecules are approximately 80 nucleotides in length. Their secondary structure includes four short double-helical elements and three loops (D, anti-codon, and T loops). Further hydrogen bonds mediate the characteristic L-shaped molecular structure. tRNAs have two regions of fundamental functional importance: the anti-codon, which is responsible for specific mRNA codon recognition, and the 3' end, to which the tRNAs corresponding amino acid is attached (by aminoacyl-tRNA synthetases). tRNAs cope with the degeneracy of the genetic code in two manners: having more than one tRNA (with a specific anti-codon) for a particular amino acid; and 'wobble' base-pairing, i.e. permitting non-standard base-pairing at the 3rd anti-codon position. The record is from Rfam by way of RNAcentral. Lineage: Eukaryota; Metazoa; Chordata; Actinopteri; Salmoniformes; Salmonidae.